Molecule: ribosomal RNA, 440 nt
Filed under: uncultured bacterium
Lineage: Bacteria
Description: partial 16S ribosomal RNA
Rfam family: Bacterial small subunit ribosomal RNA
Source: RNAcentral
CCUACGGGUGGCAGCAGUGGGGAAUAUUGCACAAUGGGGGAAACCCUGAUGCAGCGACGCCGCGUGAGUGAAGAAGUAUCUCGGUACGUAAAGCUCUAUCAGCAGGGAAGAAAAUGACGGUACCUGACUAAGAAGCCCCGGCUAACUACGUGCCAGCAGCCGCGGUAAUACGUAGGGGGCAAGCGUUAUCCGGAUUUACUGGGUGGAAAGGGAGCGUAGACGGCAGCACAAGUCUGGAGUGAAAUCCCGGGGCUUAACCCCGGAAUUGCUUUGGAAACUGUGGGGCUGGAGUGCAGGAGGGGGAAGCGGAACUCCAAGUGUAGCGGUGAAAUGCGUAGAUAUAUGGAGGAACACCGGUGGCGAAGGCGGCUCACUGGUCUGCAACUGACGUUGAGGCUCGAAAGCGUGGGGAGCAAACAGGAUUAGAUACCCGUGUAGUC